RNAcentral lists this ribosomal RNA (606 nucleotides) under Plateros sp. UPOL A00497. RNAcentral describes it as "partial 16S ribosomal RNA". The stretch from base 380 to 538 matches the Rfam family "Bacterial large subunit ribosomal RNA", at positions 2473 to 2632 of the family's 2925-position model. The record is from RNAcentral. Lineage: Eukaryota; Metazoa; Arthropoda; Insecta; Coleoptera; Lycidae.
CAUGUCUUUUUGAUUAUAAUUUAAGGUUUAAUCUGCACAAUGAAAAAUUAAAUUGCCGCAGUAUUUUGACUGUGCAAAGGUAGCAUAAUAAUUAGUUUCUUGAUUAGAAUCUGGUAUGAAUGAUUGGACGAGAAAAUAUCUGUCUCUUAUUAAAUUAUUUUUAAAUUUUAUUUUUAAGUUAAAAAGCUUAAAUGUUUAUAAAAGACGAGAAGACCCUAUAGAGUUUAAUAUUUGAGUUUAAUUAAUUAAUAGGAAUAAUUUUUAAAAUUAAGUAUUUAAUUGGGGUGAUUUAAAGAUUUAAAUAAUUCUUUAAAAUUUUAAUUGAUGAUAAUUAAGUUUAUAUUCUAAAUUUUUUAAAAUUAUAACUAAUUACCUUAGGGAUAACAGCGUAAUUUUUCUUUAAAGCUCUUAUUAAAAGAAGAUUUUGCGACCUCGAUGUUGGAUUAAAAUAAAUUUUUGGUGCAGUAACUUAAAAAUUAGGUCUGUUCGACCUUUAAUAUUUUACAUGAUCUGAGUUUAAACCGGUGUAAGCCAGGUUGGAUUCUAUCUUUAGUUUUAUUAUAUAUUUUAGUACGAAAGGACCAUAUAUAUAUUAAAUAUUAAUUG